AUUUAGUUUGGGUAGCUGAGCACAGCUGGAACUAUGCAGUGGGACUAGAUAUGUUUGUAAGUGCUCACAGAAGGAGAAUUGUUUAAAAAAUGGAAGAAGAAGCUGUAUUAUAUUGCAUACGACUUGUCAAGAUCCAUUUUUAGAGCAUCUGUCAAAAGCUCCACAUUAUUUCAUAGAACCAGGGGAAACGUAGAAGAAUGUACUCUCUUGUGAAUCACUGGCCAUGGGACCUCACUCCUUAGAGACAUCUGUCCACUGAGACCUCACUUUACUGUUGCAGUGACUAAGUAGGAAAUAGGAACCUCAAGGAAAGUGAUGCUGCAGUCAACAACUCCUCAGAGCCAUGGUGCAGCCCCAGCCCCUGCUCCCAUGACACAGCCCUGCACCUGAGCAGCACGCAGAUCUCAGGACCAUGCUUCUACAGCCAAAAACCUUUUCAUGGUGCCAGGACACUGAGCUUUUACACUAUCCAGCUGCCAUGGAGAUUUGGCCAGCUGAUUUAUUGCAAUCAGUUAUUAGUGCUGUACAUUGGUACUUUGAACAUGCACCCUAACCAGGAUGUCUUUCAGCUUGUUCAAAAGCUAAGUAAAAUGGUUUUUUUUUUCCUUCAUAUCGUUUCUCUCUUGUAUAAUCUGUAUGCCUUCAGUAAUAUAUAUGCAUUGCAUAUGUUCAUAGCAUACCCAUGCAAUAUAUGUAUGUAUUUAUCAGAUGCUCAUUCACAAAACCAAAUACAAAUAUAAAUUCAGGCAACAUGUGGUGUUUCAGUAAUCACCUUCAUGUUUGCUCUUCAGCAAGAAUAAGCCCUAAAUUAAAGGUAUAUAGACCUCCCUCCUUGGUGUGCUUACACAUAUAUUAUAUGUGUACAUACAUAUUUAUCAACAUAUAAAUGAAUAGUAUUUUCACUGUAUGAAUAACCCAAUGAAGUGAGAUGGUACAACAUAUAACUGAAUUGGUAAAAUGUUCCCUGUAGGGUGGUGAUAAUUCACAACAUCCUGAAUCUAUGACAAUAAAUACAGAGACAGUUUAUCAAGGAGAAAACAGCAACUUGCCUCUGUAAAAGAAUACUCUUGCAGAAUUACCCAUCUACCCCACUGAAACCACAGGGUUACAGUCCCACCCUUUUCUGUUACCAGGCUAGGAACAGAAAUUUUGCAGUGUUACACCACACAAUGCCUGGUGUAUAUUCCAGGCAGUUUUCGUGUAUGUAUGCACAGAAGAAAGGCCAUAUUUGAAUUUCUAGCCACUGUACACAUAUCAGCAAUCCUGUAUGAAGAACUGCUUCAUGCUGAUCAUCUUCUCCUUCCCCCCACCUCUAGGCUUCAGGAUUUUUCUGAAAGAACCUGAGAAUCUUGUUAAUCUCUGACUCAGAAAUCUGGACUCUCCUAAGGUCCUUAAGGAUGCUGCCUAGAAAGGUCUAGAUCAAGAAGUAAAUGAACCUAUGGCAAGCCAGUGCUGUACCAGCUUCCAUUGGCUCAUCUGUACUAUUUCUCCUGAAACUCUAAAUUAGCCCAAGUAGUUUAGUCUGCAGAUUGAUUUAGCCUCAGCUCAAAAUGAUGAGGAUUUUUCCAUUCAUUUUAAGGACUACUGGAUCAGACUUUACUCAGUUUGUUCCUUAACCAAACCUUAACGAUGUCAAUAAAAUGACUUUUACGCAC
Gallus gallus (chicken) is the source of this 1655-nucleotide long non-coding RNA. Lineage: Eukaryota; Metazoa; Chordata; Aves; Galliformes; Phasianidae. The record is from Ensembl.